AGGAUGCAAGCAUUAUAUAGUAGCAAUAAUAUUAUGUGUAUAUGCUCCAGACUCGCAGAAUAUGAUCCUUGGUUGCUUGAAGUGUGCUAGCCAAAUAUGUUUGUGUUCCCUGGUGCUUAAGGUACCUAUCAAGAAACGGAUGUUAGAUCAUUGUGGUUUUCGAAGAAGUUGACUAUUUUUUUUUUUCGAGCUAAUUUUGAAUUCAGAGGUGGGUUUUCGUUUAUUACCUGAUCAUGGUACAUAUGGUUCCCAGUCUGCUUAUUUUUUCCCCGGUAUAAUACCAAAAAAAGGAGUUAGUGAUUUUGGUUAAAUGCUUGUAGGUGAAAGAUUAAGUUUGUAAUGGUUACCUGAAUCAUCUGAAUACCCGGCGAUGUAUUCUGUUUUGAUAUAUAAUUGAAUACAGAGAGUAUGUAAAGUUAGCUAUAAUUGUGUUAUGUAUGUAUAUAAUGGUACUAAAAGAUAAUCUAUGUAAAGUAUAAGAGAAGUUACGUGGGUGAUGUACCAUUUAACUGGGAAGUGGUCUCUUUGUUUCCAUCUGUGAAAAGAACACAAUAGUAUGAGUGUGUAUUUUACGACAUUUUUUUAUAUGUAUAUUGUCAAAGGAAUAGAUGAGUAUACCUUGAAGGUCAUAGUACUGUUUUUGGACCUCUUUAUGGUGCUCACUGUCAAGAUCAGAGUCUCCUGCCAAUGUUGUAGUCAUAAUGAUUAUAGAUAGUACCAUUCAAACUUAAUAAAGACAUUGUAAAUGUAAAUGUUGUUACCUCGAAAGUUGUCAGUGUUUUCUAAAUAGUAUAGGUCAUGUUGGUUGGGAUGCAUGUCCUCUGUAAUGACUUCAUACCAUAAUGGCCAGAUGCUGAUAAUACUACCAUUAUGUGUUUCUUUUUUGACACCUAUAUGUGUGAUCUCCGGUAUAGACAUAUCUGAUCCGUAAGCAUCCACUGAAUAUGUCAGGUUUGCUGGCGUAAAUGCUAUUUUGUGGACAAUGCAUAUUUUCUUAAGGAGCUGGCGUACUAUGAACUCACAACAGAGAUGAGGUGGAAGCCCAUAUAUAUAAAUGGUUAGGUGUUGAC
This 1070-nucleotide long non-coding RNA is filed under the name Sorghum bicolor (sorghum). RNAcentral's name for it is "long non-coding RNA (SBIC_LNC016681)". The record is from RNAcentral. Lineage: Eukaryota; Viridiplantae; Streptophyta; Magnoliopsida; Poales; Poaceae.